This 259-nucleotide ribosomal RNA is filed under the name uncultured bacterium. Its description in RNAcentral is "partial small subunit ribosomal RNA". It matches the Rfam family "Bacterial small subunit ribosomal RNA", at positions 26 to 285 of the family's 1533-position model. The record is from RNAcentral.
AGGAUGAACGCUGGCGGCGUGCUUAACACAUGCAAGUCGAACGGUGAAAGAGAGCUUGCUCUCUGGAUCAGUGGCGAACGGGUGAGUAACACGUGAGCAAUCUGCCCUUGACUCUGGGAUAAGCGUUGGAAACGACGUCUAAUACCGGAUACGAGCUGCGAAGGCAUCUUCAGCAGCUGGAAAGAACUUCGGUCAAGGAUGAGCUCGCGGCCUAUCAGCUAGUUGGUGAGGUAAUGGCUCACCAAGGCGUCGACGGGUA